Long non-coding RNA from Solanum lycopersicum (tomato), 889 nucleotides. RefSeq lists it as uncharacterized. The record is from RefSeq and is a predicted model, not a curated record. NCBI's taxonomy places the organism in Eukaryota, Viridiplantae, Streptophyta, Magnoliopsida, Solanales, Solanaceae.
UCAUAGUAGUAGUGAUAUAUUUAAAAAGUUGAAAAAGGCUUAAAAACCGAUAAGAGAGUAUGUGUUGGUCGGCAUGAUUGUGCAUGAUGAAAAUUCUUUUUGGUCCCACAAAUUUAUUCUUCUUAUAUAAUACAUAAUAAAUAAUAAUAUAAAUAAAUAUAUAUAUACAUAUUCUUAUGACAGACAGAAAAAACAAGAAUGAGAAAAAAAAGGAAGAUUAGCUAGCUAGAAGAAGAACAAGUAGAGAAAAUGGAAUGAGAGGUUGCAAUAAUAAUUGCCACAAAAAUAUAAGGAGAUUGAGAAAUAGAACAAUGAUGUCUCUUAAGGUAAUACCAUCGACGGUUGAUAUGUAUGUUGUUGUUGAAGGGUUAAAAAAGUACAUAGUAAAUUUAAAUACAAGGUGUGUAGUUGUUGGAGAUUUCACCAUUAUGAAAUACCAUGUGAUCAUGUAAUUGCAGUUUUUAGAUACAAGAAGCUGCAUGAAACAUAUUUCUGUUCUGUCUUUUAUAGCCUGAAGAAUUUCAGAGGUGCAUAUGUCAUCCCUGUUGAACCUAUCACAUGCGAGAGUACGUGGGAUAUACCUAGUUAUAUUUCAAAGCCUAAAUUGAUGUCACCCGGUCCAAGUAGAUCAGUUAGAAAAUCACAUGUUGAACGUUGGAUUGAGUUUGCUGAUGUGAAAUUCAAAAGGUCAAAGGUUACUUGCAGUAGAUGUCGUCAAGUUGAACAUAACAAAAAGACAUGUUCAAAUUAUCCUGUUAAAAAAAAUGACGUCGUGAUUUUUACUUUUUGUUACACAACAUGUUUUGUUUUAUCGAAUGAAUUUGGUAUAAUUAAUAUUUGAGUGGUUGUGAUUUCUUAAUAUUAUCCAACUAUAAAUAAUAUUGAAACA